UUCCCAUUUUCACAAAAAUAUCUAGAGAAAUUGAAGAGCCGUUGUUUUGUUUUGCCGGUGAUCAUGCUUGGGCUACGAAUCUAUUCAUGAUCUAAGAAGAAGCUUUCUCUCAAUUCGGCUAAAGUUAUCGAUUCUAAAGAUAUGUUUAUAGUCUUCUUUGCUUGACGAAAAGGAGACGAAGAAGCUUUUCUUCUUUACAUCGUUACGUGAUGGUGAUGUCGUGUGGUUCUGAGUCAUUAUUGUUUAAGGAAGCGACUCUUAGCUGCAAAUUCCAGAGAAUUCCAGAUAAUGCGGCGUAUCUUAGAACUCAAAAAACAGAGGAUUCCGGAUUGAUUGUUGGCAGUUGUUGAAGAAUGCUUUUACAUAUAUGCAUUUAUUUGUGCAUACAUCCUUGCAUUCAUACAUACAUCAUUGCAUACAUCCUUGCAUUCAUACAU
Long non-coding RNA from Capsella rubella, 437 nucleotides. RefSeq lists it as uncharacterized. NCBI's taxonomy places the organism in Eukaryota, Viridiplantae, Streptophyta, Magnoliopsida, Brassicales, Brassicaceae. The record is from RefSeq and is a predicted model, not a curated record. The transcript is spliced from 4 exons.